CCGGCCAAAGGAAAACAAAAGGAAGAACAAAGGAAGAAAAGAAGAACAAGAACCCUAGGUGGGAAAAUUUAAGGGAAAAUUAGUGGAUUUCAAGUAAUCAAGCAAUCAAAGGUAAAAUUUCUUGAUUUUGACACGUGAUCUACCUUUCCCAUGCAUUUCUCCUUAUUUUCCAUGGUUAAAUUUCAUGUUUUCAUGGUGAAUUCAUGGCUGGCCGAAUGGGUAUGGAGAGAGAAUGAUGUUGGAUUGAUUUGAUUUCAAGUUAUGUUAGUGUUUUUAGUUAGUUAGUGAUGUGUAGCAAAAAAAGCCAACAAGAAAAAUUCAUUUUCUCCCAUUACCCAUAAGGGGCCGAAUUUUCUACUGAGAAUAUUGAGGCUGAAAUUGAUGAUAUUUCAUGAUAUUUUGGUGAUAUUUGAUGUUUGGAGAGGUUAGAAAUUAAAUAAGAAAUUUUGGUGUGAAAAUCUAAAUGUUUGCUCAACGUAUAGACAUGUGUGAUUAUUGACCCGGGACUGAUAAAUUGAAUCUCAUUCACAGUCACUGAGGUAAUUUAGGUAUAAUUGUAGUGUAGAAAGUGAGAAGAAUUGAUUUGGAGUUAAAUUGGAGAUUUUAGCCGAUUAGACCGAGUAUAAUGUGACUUAGGUCGAAUAUCACAUUUAAGCGAUUAAUCAGACAUUUUGCAUUCCAUAUCAUGCAUUAGUCUUAAUUAGUUUAAUUUCUAUUUAGUACCAAUGUAGUAAGUUUCUCGAUUUUGUACUAUGUCAAGGUGGUGAGUCCUCCGACAAGGGCAAAGAAAUUGUACCCGAGGAUCGAUAGUUGGAGUACUAUAAAAAUUCGACUCUUGAAAUAGUGAGUAACCUUACUAUCGUCUUAAUUAUCUAAAGUGGUUUUUAUCCGAUUUUAUGAUUUUAUGGAAAAUGAGUUUAAAU
Molecule: long non-coding RNA, 923 nt
Filed under: Theobroma cacao (cacao)
Lineage: Eukaryota; Viridiplantae; Streptophyta; Magnoliopsida; Malvales; Malvaceae
Description: long non-coding RNA (TCAC_LNC006425)
Source: RNAcentral